This 621-nucleotide long non-coding RNA is filed under the name Homo sapiens (human). RNAcentral describes it as "HSALNT0308050". The record is from RNAcentral. Lineage: Eukaryota; Metazoa; Chordata; Mammalia; Primates; Hominidae.
GUUACUCCCUGUGGUCGUCUUCCACGUUGUGGAAGGUUUGUUGUUUCGCUUCUUGCAAUAAAUCUUGCUACUGCUUGCCGUUUGGGUUCAGGCUGCUUUUAUGAGCUGUAACACUCACUGCAAAGGUGUGCAGCUUCACUGCUGAAGCCGUUGAGACCACGAAUCCACCGGGUGGAACGAACAACUCCAGACGUGCCACCUUAAGAGUUGUAACACUCACCUCGAACGUCUGCAGCUUCACUCCUGAAGCCAGCAAGACCACGAACCCACCAGAAGGAAGAAACUCCGAACAUAUCCUAAAGUCAGAAGGAACAAAUUCCGUAUACGCUGCCUUUAAGAACUGUUAACACUCACCGUGAGGCUCCGCGGCUUCAUUCUUGAAGUCAGUGGGACCAAGAACCCGCCAAUUCCGGACCCAGGAUUACAGAUUUACAUUGAUCAUCCACUAUGUUCCAGAUACUACAUGAUACUAACAAGACAACAGGAGAAGUGAUAUCAAAAGACAACGACUACACCAAAAUUUGGAGAAAAAGGUGAAUCCAGACAGUCACAGUUUCUUUGCAAACCAGCUUGAAUAGAGAAGAAUGGGAGAACAGUUCACUGAAAUUCACAAGAUCUGAA